Molecule: small nucleolar RNA, 129 nt
Organism: Octodon degus (degu)
Lineage: Eukaryota; Metazoa; Chordata; Mammalia; Rodentia; Octodontidae
Source: Ensembl
UGGGUGUGCUCAGAGCAGGUGGCCUGAAGAAUGGCUUCUCUGUUUACAACACACCCAAUAGAAAUUUAGGGUCGCUGUGACAAGGGGCACAACACUUGUGACUUCCCUGUGAGCAAAAGUCCCAGACAU